Molecule: ribosomal RNA, 477 nt
Filed under: uncultured anaerobic ammonium-oxidizing bacterium
Lineage: Bacteria
Description: bacterial SSU rRNA
Rfam family: Bacterial small subunit ribosomal RNA
Source: RNAcentral
UUCGCAAUGCCCGAAAGGGUGACGAUGCGACGCCGCGUGAGCGAAGAAGGCCCUAGGGUUGUAAAGCUCUGUCGAGGGUUAUGAAAUAUAGAUGGGUUAAUACCCCAUUUAUUUGACAGAAGCCCAAAAGGAAGCCACGGCUAACUCUGUGCCAGCAGCCGCGGUAAUACAGAGGUGGCGAGCGUUGUUCGGUAUUAUUGGGCGUAAAGAGCACGUAGGUGGUUUUGUAAGUCAGGUGUGAAAGCCUUCUGUUCAAAGGAAGAACGGCAUCUGAAACUGCAGAUCUUGAGUGUAGGAGGGGAGAGUGGAACUUCUGGUGGAGCGGUGAAAUGCGUAGAUAUCAGAAGGAACGUCGGCGGCGAAAGCGACUCUCUGGCCUAUUACUGACACUGAGUGUGCGAAAGUUAGGGGAGCAAACGGGAUUAGAUACCCCGGUAGUCCUAACCGUAAACGAUGGGCACUAAGUAGAGGGGUUUU